This is a long non-coding RNA of Hordeum vulgare subsp. vulgare (domesticated barley), 1051 nucleotides long. RefSeq lists it as uncharacterized. NCBI's taxonomy places the organism in Eukaryota, Viridiplantae, Streptophyta, Magnoliopsida, Poales, Poaceae. The transcript has 2 exons. The record is from RefSeq and is a predicted model, not a curated record.
CUGGCAACGGAUCUGGGAGGUUCCAGCCUUGCUGCGCCGCCACACGACCAGAUCGAGCAGCAGACAACUACCAUCUAUGCUCCCCUGGUCGAGGACAACUCCUCCACCCACCCAUCUUCCUCCUUGCUGCACGGCCACCACACCACGAGCAAUGGCCAACCACGUCGAAUCCGGUCACUGACUUGGAAUUUGGGCGGCUGUCGAACCCCCUCCAUCUUUCCUUUGUUGAUUUCUCCUUCACCGACAAGCCUCGCCCCCGUGGCCGGAACUGCCCAUUUCCGAGGUGUGGAUGGUAGCCGGGGAGCACAGUCGGUAGCGACCAACGCACAUCCUUCCCCCUUAGUCCCCCUCCCUCUACUACCUUCCCUAGUGGAGAGCUCACUCUUUGGCACUUCCUCCAGUUCUGCUCGCAACGGCCAACACUCACUAGAAGAUAAUCUCACUUCGGGGAUUCUUCACCCGCCGGUGUGUAGUUCUCGUGGUGCUGGCAUCCACUGUGUGCGGGGCUGGCAUGUAGUUCUAGCGAAUCUGGCAUGCAAUGCAGUGCACCGCGGACCCCUAGUUAGGCAUUGUGUUGUUCGGCAAGCGUUGGCGUGCAGCUCAUCCCCCGCGCGGCAUGGAGUUCCAUUCUGCCUCCAGGGAAGUGCGCCUCCACCCAUGCGUCUCAUCAUCUUCACUCGGGUGUUCAUCGGAAUGCGUGACGAUGCACUCCCGCUGCUGUUGACUUGCGGUUCAUAGGCGGGUGGUGCAGAUAGUUUCCUUGUGCAGUUCUUACGCUUAUUUCUAUUUGUUUCAAAGUGAAAAAUGUAGCCCUAUUCUUUUGCUCUUGAUGUUCAUUUUACUUCUUUUGUAGGAAAAUAUGAAGUCAUGAAGUUCGACUGGAUGCCCUAUUACUCAAUUUUCUUGUUGUUAGAAACUAGACUUCAUUAGUUCAUUGUAAAAAAUGCAAUUCAUUACCACGAUGGUGUAGUUAUAUUUUAGUUAGUAUAGAUAUUUUAUGUGUGUGUGGUUGUGGAAAACAAUCAAAUAGAUAUGUAUGCUUUGAAGCUCA